This 253-nucleotide ribosomal RNA is filed under the name uncultured bacterium. RNAcentral describes it as "partial 16S ribosomal RNA". It matches the Rfam family "Bacterial small subunit ribosomal RNA", at positions 524 to 776 of the family's 1533-position model. The record is from RNAcentral.
UACGGAGGGUGCAAGCGUUGUCCGGAUUUAUUGGGCUUAAAGGGUGCGUAGGCGGCUAAUUAAGUCAGCGGUGAAAUUCCACAGCUUAACUGUGGAACUGCCAUUGAUACUGGUUGGCUUGAGUACAGAUGAGGUAGGCGGAAUUGACAGUGUAGCGGUGAAAUGCUUAGAUAUUGUCAAGAACACCUAUUGCGAAGGCAGUUUACUAAGCUGUAACUGACGCUGAGGCACGAAAGCGUGGGGAUCAAACAGG